This 417-nucleotide ribosomal RNA is filed under the name Falciconus pseudoplatani. RNAcentral describes it as "partial 16S ribosomal RNA". Lineage: Eukaryota; Metazoa; Arthropoda; Insecta; Hymenoptera; Braconidae. The record is from RNAcentral.
UUACGCUGUUAUCCCUAAGGUAAUUUAUUUUAAAAUACUAAAUUUUAGGUUUAUAUAUUCAUUAAUUAAUGUUUUUAUAUUUAAAAGUUUAUUUAAUUUUAAAAUUACCCCAAUUAAAUAUUAAAAAUUAUUUAAAUUAUUAUUAUUAUUUAAUUUAUUAAUUAAAUUUAAUAAAAUUCUAAAGGGUCUUCUCGUCUUUUAAUAAAAUUUAAGAAUUUUGACUUAAAUUUUAAUUUAAAUAUUUAUUUAAUUUAUAUAGUUUAUACCUCAUUAAAUCUUUCAUUCUAGUUUCCAAUUAAGAAACUAAUUAUUAUGCUACCUUAGUACAGUUACUGAUACUGCAGCCAUUGAAUACUAUCAUUGGGCAGAUGUUACUAAAAAUUAUUAUCAAUAAGACAUGUUUUUGUUAAACAGGCG